CCUACGGGUGGCAGCAGUGGGGAAUAUUGCACAAUGGGCGAAACCCUGAUGCAGCGACGCCGCGUGAGUGAUGAAGUAUUUUGGUAUGUAAAGCUCUAUCAGCAGGGAAGAAAAUGACGGUACCUGAUUAAGAAGCCCCUGCUAACUACGUGACAGCAGCCGCGGUAAUACGCAGGGGGCGAGCGUUAACCGGAUUUACUGGGUGGAAAGGGAGCGUAGACGGCAGCACAAGUCAGGAGUGAAAUGCCGGGGCUUAACCCCGGAACUGCUUUUGAAACUGUGCAGCUAGAGUGCAGGAGAGGUAAGUGGAAUUCCUGGUGUAGCGGUGAAAUGCGUAGAUAUUAGGAGGAACACCAGUGGCGAAGGCGACUUACUGGACUAUAACUGACGUUGAGGCUCGAAAGCGUGGGGAGCAAACAGGAUUAGAUACCCGAGUAGUC
This 440-nucleotide ribosomal RNA is filed under the name uncultured bacterium. RNAcentral's name for it is "partial 16S ribosomal RNA". It matches the Rfam family "Bacterial small subunit ribosomal RNA", at positions 338 to 795 of the family's 1533-position model. The record is from RNAcentral.